AGUUGGCGGGGUAAUAGCCCACCAAGCCUAAGACGGGUAGCUGGUGUGAGAGCACGACCAGCCAGAGGGGGACUGAGACACGGCCCCCACUCCUACGGGAGGCAGCAGCUAAGAAUAUUGCACAAUGGACGAAAGUCUGAUGCAGCGACACCGCGUGAGAGAUGAAGGUUUUAGGAUUGUAAACCUCUUUUAUUAGGGAAUAGCAAGGGAGGUACCUAAUGAAUAAGCUACGGCUAACUACGUGCCAGCAGCCGCGGUAAUACGUAGGUAGCGAACGUUGUCCGGAAUCACUGGGCGUAAAGGGUCCGUAGGCGGUUUGAUAAGUCUCAUAUUAAAACUUCAAGCUUAACUUGGAGAGGUUGUGAGAUACUGUCAAACUAGAGACUGUUAGAGGUAAGUGGAAUUCCAGGUGUAGUGGUGAAGUGCGUAGAUAUCUGGAGGAACACCAGUGGCGAAAGCGACUUACUGGGACAGUUCUGACGCUAAGGGACGAAAGCGUGGGGAGCGAACCGGAUUAGAUACCCGGGUAGUCCACGCCGUAAACGAUGAUUGCUAGGUUUUCGGGGCAUCGACCCCUUGUGAGCCGAAGUUAACGCGUUAAGCAAUCCGCCUGAGUAGUACGGCCGCAAGGCUAAAACUCAAAGAAAUUGACGGGGGACCGCACAAGCAGCGGAGCGUGUGGUUUAAUUCGAUGGUAAGCGAAGAACCUUACCAGGGUUUGACAUGUAAGUAGUACUGAACCGAAAGGGAAUGGACCCGCAAGGGAGCUUACACAGGUGUUGCAUGGUUGUCGUCAGCUCGUGCCGUGAGGUGUUGGGUUAAGUCCCGCAACGAGCGCAACCCUCUUUGUUAGUUGCACUCUCUAACGAUACUGCCCUUAAAAGGGAGGAAGGUGGGGAUGAUGUCAA
RNAcentral lists this ribosomal RNA (908 nucleotides) under uncultured Chloroflexota bacterium. Its description in RNAcentral is "bacterial SSU rRNA". It matches the Rfam family "Bacterial small subunit ribosomal RNA", at positions 247 to 1188 of the family's 1533-position model. The record is from RNAcentral. Lineage: Bacteria; Bacillati; Chloroflexota.